Brachypodium distachyon (stiff brome) is the source of this 2402-nucleotide RNA transcript. It is a transcript of the gene named histone-lysine N-methyltransferase ASHH3, with no coding region annotated. The record is from RefSeq and is a predicted model, not a curated record. Lineage: Eukaryota; Viridiplantae; Streptophyta; Magnoliopsida; Poales; Poaceae. The transcript has 11 exons.
UUUUCUCCCCCCCUCGCGCGAGCGCCGCCGCCCCUUCCCUCCCCAUCCCCGCUGCCACGCCCCAGCCCCCUAGCUCGUCUUCCACCUCGCGCGAGCGCCUCCACCGCAGGUUGCUCUCUCCUUCGAUUCUCUCGCUCCCGACGGUUUCUCCUCCCAUCACCCCACGAACGGAUUCCGCCCUAGCUCCCCUUUGAUCUUCUUAAUCUGCCCCAAUUCGUAACUGAGGCAAAAAUCAAGGUAGGGCGGCCGCCCUACCUUGCCCUGCUGGGUCCUCCGCCGGUGCCGGCAGUCAUGAAACCUGAAGAUGUUUUCAAUAAAUUGACCAGGAAACUGCAAGAUCCUGCGGAUUUUGUAGAUUUUGAUCUGCCACCUGCGUUGAAAGAAUGGAAGUUAGGCUACUAUAUACCAAUUAAGCGAAAUGUUUAUCUUACUAAGAAACGGGUUGAAGAUGACGGCAUUUUCUGUUCUUGCCCUUUUAUUUCUGGAUCAUCAGUCGCUUGUGGAAAAGAUUGCCAAUGCGGGAUGCUGUUCUCUUGUUGUUCAUCAAACUGCAAAUGUGAGAAUAGGUGUGCCAAUAAAUCAUUCCAGCUCAGGCCUCUGAAAAAAACCAAAUUGAUCAAGACAGAGAAAUGUGGCUUUGGAUUGGUAGCUGAUGAUGGAAUACAGAAAGGAGAGUUUAUUAUAGAAUAUGUAGGAGAAGUUAUUGAUGACAGAACUUGUGAGGAAAGACUAUGGAAAAUGAAGAGACAGCGCUACACUAAUUUUUACCUUUGUGAGGUCAGUAGCAACAUGGUCAUUGAUGCAACAAACAAGGGAAACAAGUCAAGGUUUAUCAAUCAUAGUUGUCAACCUAACACAGAGAUGCAGAAAUGGACUGUAGAUGGAGAGACCAGAGUAGGAAUUUUUGCUCUUCGUGACAUAAAGAAAGGAGAGGAGCUAACCUAUGACUAUAAAUUUGUCCAGUUUGGAGCAGAUCAAGAUUGCCACUGUGGAUCUUCAAAAUGCAGAAAAAUGGUUGGCACCUCUAAGUCGGUCAACUCAAUUAUUCUUCACAAUGGCAACUCAGGAAGCUCACAAGAUCAGCAUAUUGUGAAAAAAAGAAAGAUAACCUCGGAUAAUUGUAUUGGGGAGAUUAUCCGUUUGUGGGAUCGACGGGACAAAAUGUAUGCCUUGACGACCUCAAAUUUGAUCAUGGAGUUAGAUGUCCUUUAUUUGUUGUCCUCAGUUUGUGAUCCAUUUUACCCCUUGUCUCUCACAGCAUUGUUCCUUUCAGUUACUGUUUGAUGAAGAAACUACUGAAAAAUUUGAUUUGGGAGAGGAAGAUUGGAACUUCCUACCGCGUCCAGAAGAUCCAGAUGAAGACUGAUAAUUGAAGAAUAUAUCCAUCUGCAAAAGGAUAUUGACAAGAGCUAUCAUCAGAUACACAUUCUGGGUGACCCUGGACUUCGUUUAUGUAGCAGGGAAGGGUUAUUUGUUUCUUCUGUCCACAUGUGCAUAUGUGGCCUUUCUUUCUAAGCGUGUGGGGCUUUGAAGAGGGGUUUCUCUGUUUUCUUCCAUGGAUGGCAUAUAGUUCUUCUAUUAGGAGUUUUUCCCUGCACGUUGCAGUUUAUGUUUCAUUUUUUUACUGGGUUUUGUUUUGUUUCCGCAGGGAGGGCAUCUGCUAUUUGGAUGAGAUGUAUUUCUAUGGAAAUCUUUGUACUAUCUAGUUUAGCCCAAGUCAACCCUACAAAAAAAUUGGCUAGCCAUUUUGGACAAGGUUAUACUUGUCUGUAUUUUUGCCAGUGUUCAAAACAAAAGUGAACUAGAGUGGGUGAAGGGUUUGGUCCUGACCAAAAAAAUAGAUAGGGUUAUUUUUACCCAUGGUUCAAAUUUGAACUAAACAGGAGACAGAAAUUCCCACGUCCAAACAUUUGCUAGCAUAUAUUCUUAGUUAGCAAUUGGCAAUCUUGUCUGAUGGAUGUUCUCUCUCUGCAGGAUCCUUAUGUUUCUGUGUACAAACAGAUACAUCCAAUUUAUUCCCCAUCUCAACAGAACCUGUCACUCCAUUGUAAUUUUUUUUUCUCAGAAAACAUAAUAAAGUGUUGAAGUCAGUCAAUUUGAAUAUGAAAUUAUCUUAGCAGCUUGCAAAUGGAGUAUAAAUCAUCAAUGGGAAGUACUUGGUGCAACUUUCCAUCCGGUGAAUCGGAGUUUUUUCAGUGUCAUCCAGCCUCGUAGAAAUCAGAGUUCUGCCCUCACAUUAGAUUAUUUUUUAUCUGUUCCCCAGACCUUGUAAAAUUGUGUUCCACUCUUGAAUCACGUUGAUUUCCUGUUUCCUGUAGUCUCGGCCUUCAAAAAUCAGUUUUCUUCUACUGUUUUCUGUUCAUCAAACUGGGCAUAAUUUUAUCCUAUUUUCUGGGUACAAA